GUUAUAUUGACAGAUUAGUGUAUUAAAUUUAGAAUUUAAUUAAAUAAAUUUUUAAAAUUUAUAUAUAAUA
Molecule: transfer RNA, 70 nt
Filed under: Vespa ducalis
Lineage: Eukaryota; Metazoa; Arthropoda; Insecta; Hymenoptera; Vespidae
Description: tRNA-Leu
Source: RNAcentral